GCUUAGCCGAGUGGUUCUGGCUCAGGGUCUCUCGUGAAGUUGUAGUCAAGUUAUCAGCCAGGGAUGCAGUCAUCUAAAGGCUCAACCGGGGCUGGAGGAUCGAAUACCAAGCAGAUCACUCACACCCCUCAUGACUGGAGGCUUCGGUUCCUUGCCACUGUGUUGUUCCUAGGGCUGCUUGAUUAUGCCCAUGAUUUGGCAGCUGGCUUCCCCCAGAGCAAGAAGCCCAAGAGAGACAGCAAGUAGGAAGCCAAAAUGCCUUGUAUGUCCCAAUCUUGACAUCACACACCACCUCUUCUGCACAUUUUAUUAGUUAGAAGCAAGUCACUAAGGACACCCACACUUAAGGCAAGGGGAAUUCGUCCCACUGUAUAAAGCGAGAUGUAUCAGACAAAUUAAGGGUUUGUUUUAAAACCCCACAGUCUAUACAGCUGUUCCCCGGCUUGCAGAUGGCCUCAGGAGUGCUGCUGAUUAAGGACCCCUGUGUCAUUCUGCCACUCAAGGGGACGCUCCCCUACUCUCAUGCUGCACACCUCUUGCCCAGGCCUGGAACUCCUGGCCAGUUCUGCCCUCCAAAUCUCCUCUCGGCUUCUUCAAGCAUCUCAGUUCCAUUUCCAGGGAUGGGUGAGAGAUGCUCUGAGACCUGUGGGACUUGGUGUCUCAGAAGUUCACAUUUGUGGAAAAGAGGUUCAAUUGGCCACAUCCACCAAGUAGAGUUGGAGGUGUCUCUGUAGGGGUGAGGCAGAGUGUCUCUGACCAGAAGAUCCAGUCCCCAUGAAAGACUCAUCCAGCGCUCAGCAUACAGAACCUUUGAUCUGAGGACCAAGAAGUACUUAGUCUCAUCACCUCAUUUAUCUCUCUAGGGUAUCUGUGAGCCAGCUGGGAAAACUGGGGGAGAGGUGGUUUUUCCUGACCUAGUUUCAAGGAGGUCAAGCUGAGGCUAGAACACAGGUGACCACUGGCAGCCUCUGCCGAGCCUUCUGCCACUCUGGGCUUUGCAUUGGGGUGUGGUGGCAUGAGGGUUUGCCUCGCAGGCCUCCAGUUACGGCAGUACAGCUGGCCCAGGGCCCCCCUGGCUCUAGAAUCCAUCCCCUGGCUUGUGCUGACGUCAAGACGGAGUGCAGCAGGGAUACUAAAGCUGGCCCGAGCCUGGAAGCUGGGGGAUUCCUCCCCUACCUUUGGCUCAAGGAUUCCCCGAUGACUUUACUGAACCUCCCCUAGACGGCACAGCAGUCCAGGGUGCUCCUACUCAGCCUGCCUUUCUCCUUCACUGGGAGUCAGGGUUGCCAGAUGCAACACAGGACGCCCAGGAAAAUCUGAAUACUAGAUAAACAAAGAAUUAUUCGUGCCUUCUCUCUCAAGCAGAUGCACUCUUAUCCUUUGAGGCUGCAGAUGCCAGGGACAUGCUUCCAUUGCAGCAUCAUCAAGAUGGCUUGGGAUCAAGAUGACUUGGGCGCACUAUCCUCCCUACCAGGCCCUGAGCAACACCAUCAUUUCUCAUUCCUAAUUCCCAGGAGAGCAUGGCACAGAGAGGUGCUCAGCAUCUUCCUGAGACUUAUAGAAGAAGCCAAGGAGCUGAGAGCAGCAGAGACAAGAAACAGAGGGAGAGUGAGAAAGUCCCGGGCCAUUCCGCAACUCAAGCAGGAGAAAAACCCAGGAGUGGGGUGGCGUAGGCGGGGCCACCACAAGGAGCCCGUGCAUCAGGGGGCGCAGGCUGUUUCUGGAUCAUUCCACUGGGAAGGGGACAAAACCCAUCUUUUAUGACCCAUGUUCAGUUCUCAGUUGGAGUCAGGUCUUUGGCCUUGAUAGAUUUCAAUAUCCUGUGCAGCUGAUGUCUGACCCACGCAUCAAGAAUACAGCCUUCACACACCUGCCGUGAGAAGCCCUCUAUGACCUUCUGCAGAGGGAGGGAACUGCCUAAGAGCUGCUGAGUGCAGGAAUGCAGGGUGCUAAGAAGCAGGUACCCAGUUUGGGGUUAAAAUAUGUAUAAUAUAUCCAUUUGAAUACCCAUCAAUAAAUAUCAGUCAUGCUCACUUUUGGGUGCUGGGGGUUAUUGGAGAUAUUGAUUCAUUUGUUUUAUGAGUGG
RNAcentral lists this long non-coding RNA (2086 nucleotides) under Homo sapiens (human). Its description in RNAcentral is "HSALNT0053856". Lineage: Eukaryota; Metazoa; Chordata; Mammalia; Primates; Hominidae. The record is from RNAcentral.